GACGAACGCUGGCGGCGUGCUUAACACAUGCAAGUCGAACGGAAAGGCCUGCUUUCCCUUGUGGAUUGCGGGUACUCGAGUGGCGGACGGGUGAGUAACACGUGAGUGAUCUGCCCCCAACUUGGGUAUAAGCCUGGGAAACUGGGUCUAAUUCCCGAUAGGACUGCAGGGUGGUGCCUGUGGUGGAAAACGAUUUUCUAGUGGUUGGGGAUGAGCUCGCGGCCUAUCAGCUUGUUGGUGGGGUAAUGGCCUACCAAGGCGGCGACGGGUAGCCGGCCUGAGAGGGUGGACGGUCACAGUGGGACUGAGAUACGGCCCAGACGCCUACGGGAGGCAGCAGUGGGGAAUAGUGCACAAUGGGCGGAAGCCUGAUGCAGCGACGCCGCGUGGGGGAUGACGGCCUUCGGGUGGUAAACUCCUUUCGACCGCGAGGAAGCCACCUGGUUGGAAGGGUGGUGACGGUAGUGGUAGAAGAAGCACCGGCUAACUACGUG
RNAcentral lists this ribosomal RNA (494 nucleotides) under uncultured bacterium. RNAcentral describes it as "partial 16S ribosomal RNA". It matches the Rfam family "Bacterial small subunit ribosomal RNA", at positions 28 to 507 of the family's 1533-position model. The record is from RNAcentral.